Molecule: ribosomal RNA, 364 nt
Filed under: uncultured fungus
Lineage: Eukaryota; Fungi
Description: eukaryotic LSU rRNA
Rfam family: Eukaryotic large subunit ribosomal RNA
Source: RNAcentral
AUAUCAAUAAGGCGAGGAACAGAAACCAACAGGGAUUCCCCUAGUAGUGGCGAAUGAAGCGGGAAAAGCUCAAGUUUGAAAUCUGAUGGGCUUGUCCCAUCAGAGUUGUAAGCUGAAGAGGCGUUGACCGACGUUGUCCGGGCCCAAUUUCCUUGGAACAGGAAGUCAUGGAGGGUGAGAACCCCGUCUGUGGCUCGGAGUCUUCGUCCUUGUGUCAUGUCCUCGAAGAGUCGGGUUGUUUGGGAAUGCAGCUCAAAAUGGGUGGUAAAUUCCAUCUAAGGCUAAAUAUUGGCGAGAGACCGAUAGCAAACAAGUAGAGUGAUCGAAAGAUGAAAAGUACUUUGAAAAGAGAGUGAAACAGUAC